Long non-coding RNA from Dalotia coriaria, 1124 nucleotides. RefSeq lists it as uncharacterized. The transcript has 4 exons. The record is from RefSeq and is a predicted model, not a curated record. Lineage: Eukaryota; Metazoa; Arthropoda; Insecta; Coleoptera; Staphylinidae.
CAGCAAGUCAGAUCCGUUAAAAAUCGACAUCAUGAUUAUAGGCAUCCAUGUACCAAAUUUACAGCUGAAAAUCUCGGAAGCCACGCCUGGAUACAAGCAUAACGUUACAAAAUAAACCAAACAAAUUGAUAUCAUAAUUAAUUGAUAUAAUUACGUUUAAUGGACCUUCGUCCACCACUAAUACUCGGAGUGCGUCCCUUGAUAACAAUAUCUUCCACCUUGAAGGUUGGAGCUUGUCCACUUGGUUCGUAAACUGGAUUGUUGAAACUUAAGCACGCGUUGGGCGGUGGACUGUUCUGAAUUUUCAACAUGCCAUACUGUAAUUCGUAUUUUCUACUUACCAGUCCUGCAUCUUCAGCUGGUUCUAAUACUAUCCUGGUUUUGGCUCGCUCAUGCAGUGCUAAAUAGAACUGAAUAAAAUCUGUCUUUCGCACAAGAUGGUAGACAAUAUAGCAGAAAAUUAUUGUGCCCAUUGACACAAUGAAGAAAGCUUCGGUACUGCGCCGAAUGUCCGGCACUAUAUAUUUGGUCAACACUCGCACACCGGAAGUGAAUACACCAGAUACACCUAAAAAUUAAUUUUAGUUUAAUUACAGAAUUACAAAAUGCUGAUUGGAAAGUAAUUACUUUCUCCCACCAUUACUGCCUGGGUAUAACGUGCGGGAAGCAUACUCGUAUAUCCAUAAUAACUUGAUUGUUGCACUGAAAUGGAAACAAGAAAAUGAUUCAGAAGGAAAUAUUUCAUUUGAAUUAAUUAACAUAUUAUAAUACGUUUGUUAUAUGUUUUUUACCUGUACAUCCAACUGCGACGACAGCCACUGAUCCCAUGUUAACAGCGUAACCCAAAUUUCGACUCAAAAUAGCUGAUUUAACUUCCACAACGGCGACAAACAACAAUGUUAAAAAUGAUAACAUGUAACCUGAAAGGUAAUUCUGCUGGUCAAACUGCACGUUUCAACAAGCAAAUUGUUACCCAGCACUGUGAAAAACGCAAGUACAAUAUAGAUUAAGGACAUGUCAAAAACGACCUGCGUUGACGGAAAUUCCAUCUUAAAAUAAUCCAUAGCCAUAAUAAAUCUAUAAUGCAUAAUGAAUAUUUUAUUAAAAUGUUUGUUUAUUUUUUA